CGCCGGGGCAAGGCGCCAUCCGUCGCCGCCUCGCCGACGACCCCGCCGCCGGGCAGGAGGAAUGCUUCCACGCCUUCAACCUCCGCAUCCACGACGUCGUCCUACAAGCUCAAGAUUUGUAAGCCGCACAAGGUCAUCUCUGCCGCUUCACUUCUGGUUCGCCUCUCUGCUCCUCCCAACGCAUCUAUCUCGUGAUUUCAAUAACUGAAGGGUUGAAGGUCAAGGUCGGCGACCUGUAUGUCCACAAGUUGUCCCAUGGCUGUUCACUGUGGGAUGUGAUCGAGAGGUGAGGCCUCUUUGCCUGUUGAACAGGUGCAGGGCCUCCCGCUUAUUCCUACUUUCUUGCAGUCAAAGGACGGGGUUCGGUGAAACCAGAGCAAACUAAGGAUCCCAGCAAAGAAGGAAGCUAAUAAUGAUGGACAUACCUAGCAUUUUCGGCCCCGGACAUAGGUCCAUCACUCUCUACGAGGGCAUAAAUCAUCAUCCAGAUCCAGAUUCCAUUUUCAGGAAUAAGACCGUCGCACAGCUGGGAUGUGGCAAUGGUUGGAUAUCCAUUGCGCUUGCAGAAAAAUGGUGCCCUUCCAAGGAUCCCAGCAAAGAAGGAAGCUAAUAAUGAUGGACAUACCUAGCAUUUUCGGCCCCGGAGAUAGGUCCAUCACUCUCUACGAGGGCAUAAAUCAUCAUCCAGAUCCAGAUUCCAUUUUCAGGAAUAAGAUCGUCGCACAGCUGGGAUGUGGCAAUGGUUGGAUAUCCAUUGCGCUUGCAGAAAAAUGGUGCCCUUCCAAGUUAAUUCAAGGAGGACCCUACAUCUAAAGAUCUUGGUUGCAAAAGUAUAUCAGGAAGAUCUUGGUUGCAAAAGUGAUCAGAUAUACUCCUCUGUACCAAAAUAUAAGACGUUUUUCUCAGUUCAAUUGAACUGCAAAAAUAUCUUAU
This is a non-coding RNA of Triticum urartu, 933 nucleotides long. The record is from RefSeq and is a predicted model, not a curated record. Lineage: Eukaryota; Viridiplantae; Streptophyta; Magnoliopsida; Poales; Poaceae.